GCUCAUUUCAACAUGCACACACUCAAACAAGAACCUGCAGAAUAGAUUAGCAUGGACCCUGCUCAAGGAUAACAUGGAAAUUCAUGAAUUGUCCCAUGUUUUU
Small nuclear RNA from Ochotona princeps (American pika), 103 nucleotides. NCBI's taxonomy places the organism in Eukaryota, Metazoa, Chordata, Mammalia, Lagomorpha, Ochotonidae. The record is from Ensembl.